RNAcentral lists this ribosomal RNA (155 nucleotides) under Tridacna crocea. Its description in RNAcentral is "5.8S ribosomal RNA". It matches the Rfam family "5.8S ribosomal RNA". From Rfam's summary of the family: 5.8S ribosomal RNA (5.8S rRNA) is a component of the large subunit of the eukaryotic ribosome. It is transcribed by RNA polymerase I as part of the 45S precursor that also contains 18S and 28S rRNA. Functionally, it is thought that 5.8S rRNA may be involved in ribosome translocation. Lineage: Eukaryota; Metazoa; Mollusca; Bivalvia; Cardiida; Cardiidae. The record is from RNAcentral.
GUACUACUCUGUGCGGUGGAUCACUCGGCUCGUGUGUCGAUGAAGAGCGCAGCUAGCUGCGAGAAGUAAUGUGAAUUGCAGAACCACAUUGAAACAUCGACAUCUUGAACGCACAUGGCGGCCUCCGGGUUACUCCGGAGGCCACGUCUGUCUGA